Oncorhynchus gorbuscha (pink salmon) is the source of this 634-nucleotide long non-coding RNA. RefSeq lists it as uncharacterized. NCBI's taxonomy places the organism in Eukaryota, Metazoa, Chordata, Actinopteri, Salmoniformes, Salmonidae. The record is from RefSeq and is a predicted model, not a curated record. The transcript is spliced from 3 exons.
AGCAGACAGAGCGCCCCCCUCCCUGCGGUCGGGGGGAAAGCUCAGAGACGAAAGAAGCUGGCUGGACGUCCACGCUGACCAGGAGUACGUCCUGCAGGUCUCACUGCAGAGCAUCAACACCGGCCAGCAGAGGAGGAGGCAGGACAGUAAGACCCAGGCCCCCAGGUUCCCCAAGAAUAAGGAUGAGGGCUGGUUUCUGGUUCUAGGAGAGGUGGAGCGCAGAGAGCUACUGGCCGUCAAACGCAUCGGAUACUGCCGACACCGCAGCCUUGCCUUCUAAACCCCUGAGAAGCCUGGAAAGUGUAUCUACACGCUAUACUUGAUGAGUGACAGUUACCUGGGUCUGGACCAGCAGUAUGACCUCCACCUCAACAUGACCCCUGCCUGCAUCGCAGCCCUGGUCAACAGUGAAGUCACUGAGGCCAUGGGAGGAAUGUCCGUCAAGUGAUACGUCAACAUGAUGACAUCAUCAUGAGUGACAUGGUGACAAUGACAAUCUAAAAAUGACAAGAGACAAUGGCCAUGUGUCUUUAGAGGCCAAUGUUUGGGAUAUUUACCCUGAUGAUGUGAUGGUGGUAAUUGUGUGACUGGGUGUUAGCCUUAAAGCAGGGAUGUCAAGCUCAUUCCAUGGAGA